CCUACGGGAGGCUGCGUGAAGUUCUGCUUGGGUGUCAACGUCUUUAACGGGCACACCUCGCCCUCAUUGAGCGGCGGCAGCAGGUUAUCCUUGCUGUCGUCGUCCUCGCUGGAGAAGCUUGCUGUGUAGCCCUUGAACACCAUAUGCGAACCGGUCGCGCGGAACGUACAGUCGCCCGCUUCGAUGUUUACCGCCAUUGUCUCGGAGAUGGACGGCGUCAUCUGGCUGGCUACGAAACGAGAGUAUAUCAGCUUGUAAAGCCGGUACUGGUCCUUGGACAACGUGCUCUUCAGCGAUUCGGGACUCAGCUCCAUGUGAGACGGGCGGAUCGCUUCGUGCGCGUCCUGCGCCUUUUGGGAUUUUUUAAAGUAGUUGGGCUUCUCGGGCAGAUAGUCCGGCCCGUAUUGCUGCACAAUGUGCGCGCGCACUGCGGUCAGCGCCUCGUCAGAUACCCCUGUAGUC
Molecule: ribosomal RNA, 462 nt
Filed under: uncultured prokaryote
Description: partial 16S ribosomal RNA
Source: RNAcentral